CCUACGGGAGGCAGCAGUGGGGAAUAUUGGGCAAUGGGCGCAAGCCUGACCCAGCAACGCCGCGUGAAGGAAGAAGGCUUUCGGGUUGUAAACUUCUUUUCUGGGGGACGAACAAAUGACGGUACCCCAGGAAUAAGCCACGGCUAACUACGUGCCAGCAGCCGCGGUAAUACGUAGGUGGCAAGCGUUAUCCGGGUUUAUUGGGUGUAAAGGGCGUGUAGGCGGGAAUGCAAGUCAGAUGUGAAAACUCAGGGCUCAACCAUGAUCCUGCAUUUGAAACUGUGUUUCGUGAGUGCUGGAGAGGCAAUCGGAAUGCGGGGUGUAGCGGUGAAAUGCGUAGAUAUACGGCAGAACACCAGUGGCGAAGGCGGAUUGCUGGACCGUAACUGACGUUGAGGCUCGAAAGCGUGGGGAGCAAACAGGAUUAGAUACCCCUGUAGUC
This 442-nucleotide ribosomal RNA is filed under the name uncultured bacterium. Its description in RNAcentral is "partial 16S ribosomal RNA". It matches the Rfam family "Bacterial small subunit ribosomal RNA", at positions 338 to 795 of the family's 1533-position model. The record is from RNAcentral.